This 467-nucleotide ribosomal RNA is filed under the name uncultured bacterium. Its description in RNAcentral is "partial 16S ribosomal RNA". It matches the Rfam family "Bacterial small subunit ribosomal RNA", at positions 28 to 507 of the family's 1533-position model. The record is from RNAcentral.
GACGAACGCUGGCGGCGUGCUUAACACAUGCAAGUCGAACGGAAAGGCUCCAGCUUGCUGGAGUACUCGAGUGGCGAACGGGUGAGUAACACGUGGGUAAUCUGCCCUGCACUCUGGAAUAAGCCUGGGAAACUGGGUCUAAUACUGGAUAUGACCUUUCUCCUUAUGGGGUUUGGUGGAAAGUUUUUCGGUGUAGGAUGAGCCCGCGGCCUAUCAGCUUGUUGGUGGGGUGAUGGCCUACCAAGGCGACGACGGGUAGCCGGCCUGAGAGGGUGAUCGGCCACAUUGGGACUGAGAUACGGCCCAGACUCCUACGGGAGGCAGCAGUGGGGAAUAUUGCACAAUGGGCGGAAGCCUGAUGCAGCGACGCCGCGUGAGGGAUGACGGCCUUCGGGUUGUAAACCUCUUUCAGCAGGGACGAAGCGUAAGUGACGGUACCUGCAGAAGAAGCACCGGCUAACUACGUG